Molecule: non-coding RNA, 1262 nt
Organism: Kogia breviceps (pygmy sperm whale)
Lineage: Eukaryota; Metazoa; Chordata; Mammalia; Artiodactyla; Physeteridae
Source: RefSeq, a predicted model, not a curated record
CCAGUAGUGGUUUGACGUUGGUCCCGGAGAUGUCACGUGGUUGCAGGUGGCUGGACUGACCCGCAGGGUUGGUCCGGUGAGGAGAGUACGUCGUGAGGUUGGUGUGGUGUCGUGGCUCUCGAGACCUGAAGGCCCUCGUCCCGACCCUCGCUGUCUGUGGCGCGGACGCCGAGCCUUUCCGCGGACUGCGGUGGAGUGCGGGGGUCUGGGGACGCGGCGGCCGGGCGAUGGAGUCGGCUUUUCAGGAAGUCGUCAGCCCGCUCCGCACACGCGCUCUCUCCUCCGAGGAUGUCAGAUUUCCUUCCCAUUUAGGUCACCACAGAGCACUGAGGAGAGUUCCCUAUGCUAUACAACUUGGAGCCGAAGAAGCUGGCAACCUGGAAACACCAGUGGGUGCAGACAAAAAAAGCCCAACAAAAGCCUGCUGUUUCUAGCCAAAGGACCAGGAAACAGGCAGCCUAGAAAGAAGGAAAUAACUGCUGUGUUCCAGCCAAAUGCCACAGAAAAAACUGUGGUUCCACUUCUCCUCCCCUUCCCGUCCCCCACGGCAGAGACUACAUGCAGAAGCUAGACUUCCAUUUUCACCAGGCUCUAAAGAGGUGUUCCCAACCCUCUCUCUCCAGGUUAGUGCCCGAGAAGCCUAAGCAGAGCUGGGAGCUGCAUCCCUUCCUAGCCCCUGUGUUGUCAGUGGAGACCUUGGGAAGUUUGGACUUCCACCCUCAUCUGGUGGAGAUGAGGCACUGUUCCACCUACCUGAUGCGGUGAUACCGGAAGAAGCCUAGUGGAAAUUCAGGACCUUAUCUCCCAGCUGUAACAAAGCCACCUCCACUGUGGUGUCAUUGGAGACCAAAGCAGGAGGGUUUUUUCUUCAGUCUUUACCAUAAGAACCUAAUUGAGUUCCUAGAGGUAACAAUCAUGAAACUGUGCCCCCCACCAGCAAAAACAAAACAAAACAAAACAGCCUCCAGGAGGUUUUUCGUUUUGUUUUGUUGUUUUUGUUUUGUUUUUUGUUUCGUUUGUUUUCUCUCUCAAGCUAGUCCUCAUUCAGCCUCCAGCAGUUCAUCAAUUACUAUUUAAUUGUUCCUACCCAUUGCUGGCUCCUCAGUGACUUCUUCUUCUGGUGUACUGUAUGCCAUGAUUCUCUGUAUUCACCUGUCUCUUAACUUUUGGGGGUGGCUAUUUUCCAUGUGACUUCAAUGCUCUUGUUAACUUAAGAUGACUUGUCGAUUUUCAGUUUAUUCCAAUUUUUUUUUCUUGUUUUG